UGGCUCUCGCAUCGAUGAAGAACGCAGCGAAAUGCGAUACGUAAUGUGAAUUGCAGAAUUCAGUGAAUCAUCGAAUCUUUGAACGCACCUUGCACCCCGUGGCUUACCACGGGGUACGCCCGUUCGAGUGUCACGUUCACCAUCGCCUUUGGGAAGGUCACUUCUCAUCUGGCGGAACUGGAUGUUGCCGUCGUUGGCUCGUCCGAAAUGCAUUAGCGAGGGUGGUCUCCCUUAACCGCUUGGCGUGAUAUUUACCUCUUGCGCCUGUCGGUCGGUUGUGUGGAGGCGGCUCUGCUUCGAAUCCCGUCGCGUCGACGGAACUUAUCCAAUGUUUUGACCUCGAAUCGGGUGGGACUACCCGCUGA
This 365-nucleotide unclassified non-coding RNA is filed under the name uncultured fungus. Its description in RNAcentral is "partial contains 5.8S ribosomal RNA and internal transcribed spacer 2". The stretch from base 1 to 133 matches the Rfam family "5.8S ribosomal RNA", at positions 22 to 154 of the family's 154-position model. Lineage: Eukaryota; Fungi. The record is from RNAcentral.